UACGGAGGAUGCAAGCGUUAUCCGGAUUCAUUGGGUUUAAAGGGUGCGUAGGCGGGAUGAUAAGUCAGUGGUGAAAUCCAACAGCUUAACUGUUGAACUGCCAUUGAUACUGUCAACCUUGAGUACAUUUGAAGUGGGCGGAAUGUGUGGUGUAGCGGUGAAAUGCUUAGAUAUCACACAGAACACCGAUAGCGAAGGCAGCUCACUAAACUGUAACUGACGCUGAGGCACGAAAGCGUGGGGAGCAAACAGG
Molecule: ribosomal RNA, 253 nt
Filed under: uncultured bacterium
Lineage: Bacteria
Description: partial 16S ribosomal RNA
Rfam family: Bacterial small subunit ribosomal RNA
Source: RNAcentral